GUAGGUGGCAAGCGUUGUCCGGAAUUAUUGGGCGUAAAGCGCGCGCAGGCGGUUCUUUAAGUCUGAUGUGAAAGCCCACGGCUCAACCGUGGAGGGUCAUUGGAAACUGGAGAACUUGAGUACAGAAGAGGAAAGCGGAAUUCCACGUGUAGCGGUGAAAUGCGUAGAGAUGUGGAGGAACACCAGUGGCGAAGGCGGCUUUCUGGUCUGUAACUGACGCUGAGGCGCGAAAGCGUGGGGAGCAAACAGGGAUUAGAUACCCUGGUAGUCCACGCCGUAAACGAUGAGUGCUAAGUGUUAGGGGGUUUCCGCCCCCCUUAGUGCUGCAGCUAACGCAUUAAGCACUCCGCCUGGGGAAUACGGCCGCAAGGCUG
RNAcentral lists this ribosomal RNA (374 nucleotides) under uncultured organism. RNAcentral describes it as "partial 16S ribosomal RNA". It matches the Rfam family "Bacterial small subunit ribosomal RNA", at positions 527 to 896 of the family's 1533-position model. The record is from RNAcentral.